This is a long non-coding RNA of Dromiciops gliroides (monito del monte), 1247 nucleotides long. RefSeq lists it as uncharacterized. NCBI's taxonomy places the organism in Eukaryota, Metazoa, Chordata, Mammalia, Microbiotheria, Microbiotheriidae. The transcript has 3 exons. The record is from RefSeq and is a predicted model, not a curated record.
AGGAGCACCUUCCCUCCCUUUGCAUUCCGCUCUAUAAUUGGACGCCUGCUUUUCUUCCUUUUUCUUCUUAUCAGAUCCAGGUCUCAGAGAGGGAGAGAACAACUGGAAAGAGACUCUAAAACACCUCCUGGAGGCAGGGAGCUCAGGAGUCAAAGGAAGAAGCUAAGAGAAAAGGGGGGAAGGGAAGAAGAGAGAGCAAGUCUUGGGAUAGUCCUCCGCAGAGCUCUGUUCUUUUCCCAGACCAAGGGUUCCCCUCUCCAAGUACCCUGCCCUUGCACAGUGAUGAUCAUCAAGGAAUGUUGAGUCAUGUGACCCAUUAUGCCAGCAAUCCUAUGGGAUUUUUAUAUGUAUGCACUGAAGGUGGAGUUCUCUUGAAGAAGGCUGGGAAACCAACUUUUUGGCCAAAGCUGAGGAGUGAUCAGCAGGAGGAACAUUAAUUGAACUAUACAAAAAGACUUGUCCAUAGUGACUCUUUUAAGACUGCUCCUGAGAACUGAGUUGUGGCUACAUAUCUCACACUUUGAAAAGGGCUGCUGAACUGGUUUGGAGUACCCUAGCCCAGUGAAAAUCUUUGGUUCUGGUGAUCCAAGACCUAAGUAGGGAACAGCUGCUGCAAACCACAACCCCAGGACCCUGAGGAUGAGAAGUAGAUGGCAUCCAGAGGAGACUGCACCCCAAGAUUCUGGAUGAGGAAUGAGGAUACCCAGCACCCCAAAGACACUGUGCCUUUCUCUGUGUACUAUCCAUCUUAUCAGGUCACCCUAUGGUUUUGAAUUCUACUACAGGUGGGAUUAAUUUUGGUAUUGGGGGUCUUUCUUUGUGGCCAGUUCUGCCCCCACAUUUGACAAUGAUCAGUCCCUGUCAUGUGACCCCACACCCUCCCAGUUCUCUAGUUGAAUAUAUCUCCCUGCUUGGCUCUGUAUACCUACUCAGACAGAAGCCUGGCCAUCCCAGGAUCAGUACCCCUAUGACAGAGAUCCCUCAUGUGUAAUUACAGUGAACCUCUAUGCCUUUCCCAGAUUUCACAGGACUUACAGGCUGUCCUAUCAUUCUGUUAUCUCUCUGACUCCUCACCUUGAUUAAAUUGUGUUCCUGUAAAAAUUAGGUUCCAAACAGAAGCUCCUUGGCUUACUUUUGGGGUUCAGUGAGACUGAUCCCCUUGACCAACAGGUGGGAAUGUUAAUAUAAAUGUAUAGCUCACCGGGAUUUGAUGGAGGUACCUUAUUAUCCAAAUGGAUUUUAUGAGA